Molecule: ribosomal RNA, 349 nt
Filed under: Teloschistes flavicans
Lineage: Eukaryota; Fungi; Ascomycota; Lecanoromycetes; Teloschistales; Teloschistaceae
Description: partial 18S ribosomal RNA
Source: RNAcentral
UGGUGAACCUGCGGAAGGAUCAUUAUCGAGACGGGGCUUUUGCUCCAGCGGUCUCCGGGCCACUCUUCACCCUUUGUUAACCUUACCUUGUUGCCCGGCGAGCUAUCGGAGCUGAUUGUCUGGGAGUAUUCGAGGGAUGAUUUACUUUUCUAUCCUGAUGACGAUAACGACCUCUCGCGAGUAUGGGAUCAUUCAUUAUGGAAUAAUUGUUUCGGUCAGUCUUCGGCUGGGGAUAAUACAUCAUCAGGCGUGGGCGCCCGCGAGUGCUGUUCGACGUUAUUGGGAGGUGACGCACCUCCGCAGUGACAAGUGCUCGCGGGUACAGGGCAAAGCAAACCCAGUAUUUUCU